Molecule: non-coding RNA, 1212 nt
Organism: Gasterosteus aculeatus aculeatus (three-spined stickleback)
Lineage: Eukaryota; Metazoa; Chordata; Actinopteri; Perciformes; Gasterosteidae
Source: RefSeq, a predicted model, not a curated record
GGGAAGCUCGAUGAACCAGACGAGAGCCCCGUUUACCCGGAUGUUAGGAUUGCAUCAGCUGCAGAUGACAACGUGACGUAUUCCCAGGUUCACCUCCGCACUGAAAAGAAGAACAAUGAAGGAAAAUCCAGAUGUGUAGCAGAAGAGGAAACUGUUCAUUCUUCAAACCAGGAACAUCUGAUCAAUAAAGACGUCGGUGUGGACCAGACAGCCCAACAUGAACAACCAUCUCUUUAAGAUAUAAGAUGAAGCCUCAAACAGCUACAGACCAGACAGCUUGGUGUACUAUGGAAGUCUGUCGUAGUCUCUUUUGGACAGAUGAGCUUUGGGUUAAAAAGGAUGAUAUGGUCUUUGCAGCGUUUCUCCAGAUAGGUAGAAUCGAAAAAAUAUCUCAUUUUUCGAUGGUGUAACAUAGAGACAUGAUACUUCCCCCCGCGGACAGGAGAACCCCUUCAUCGUAUGGAGCCGUUUCAUUAUCCGGCCAAACAGUUUUAGAUUUUGUGAGGGGUUUUCAUGCCCAGGGACACGUAUCAAAGUAACGUGCUAUAUAUCUCUUACUAAAAUGAAUGAUCAUCAAAUAGAGACCCAUCAAAAUGGGAACUGCUGCUCUGUGACAGAUAAUUAUAGUCUUAGUUCUGAGUGCUACUGAAAUUAAUUUAAACAUUUUAGCUAUAGUCUGAAGUAGCAUAAAGCCUUCUGCUUACACGCUUUCAUCCCUCCAAUACUUUUUUUCUAGUAAAAGUGGAUGAAUAGAAUUUUAAAGUGGGUGUCCCUUUUCUGAGAUUGUAUAUUUUUUUCCCCACAUACUUACCGACGUCCCCAGAUGUGUUGAAAAAUAAUGUAUCAAUUUCAAAGGGACUGUUACAUUUAGCAACUGAUGGUUGUAAAAUAACGCAUAAAAGCUUUAAGACAAACUCCUGCCAGCUUUCUUUAUCGUACUGAGAGAUCUAAAAUAUUAUCUAUUUGUUACUGAACACAGCUUUGUUAUGGAGAACUGAACUGAAUUGAAAACAUUCAAUUCCCAUUAAGGGAUUUUUAUCCUCAAUAAAAGCCUGCAGAUUAUCCAAUAAAAUACACUUUACCAUUUAAUAUCAUCCACUUCGCUCAUUAUUUUAACAUGGGCUAUUUCUACAUGUGAUUACUUGAAAAGUGCCCUUUAGAUUGAUAAAUAAGUCCCAUUCUGCACUUUCCUGACUUAGAACUCCUAGAGGU